CAUAUACUCCCUCCGUCCGGAAAUACUUGUCGGAGGAAUAGAUGUAUCUAGAUGUAUUUUAGUUCUAGAAACAUUCAUUUUUAUGCAUUUCUUCGACAAGUAUUUCCGGACGGAGGAAGAACAAU
Molecule: non-coding RNA, 125 nt
Organism: Triticum aestivum (bread wheat)
Lineage: Eukaryota; Viridiplantae; Streptophyta; Magnoliopsida; Poales; Poaceae
Source: Rfam